RNAcentral lists this long non-coding RNA (283 nucleotides) under Lathyrus oleraceus (garden pea). RNAcentral describes it as "Pisum sativum (pea) long non-coding RNA (PSAT_LNC033726)". The record is from RNAcentral. Lineage: Eukaryota; Viridiplantae; Streptophyta; Magnoliopsida; Fabales; Fabaceae.
UCUGAUUAUUUGACUGGUCAACUUCUCAAGGACAAACCUCAAAUCUUAAUGAAUGAAUUAUUUAGGAUACUCACAUAGGCUCAUAUAUGCAUAAAAUUAUGAAUGAAAUAACUUCCAUUGAUUGGAUUUGAUCAUGGGUUGAGGUUGCUUCAUGAGCAAGGCACAGCCAAUGCACAGAUGAAUUAGGGUUUCCUUGGGAAACAAUCCUCAAGCCCCUUGGUUUAUCUUGAUCAAAUUGACAAAUUGAGAUACUUGGGAGACAUAUAUGAUGAUUUAGAGCUUU